GAUGAACGCUGGCGGCGUGCCUAAAACAUGCAAGUCGAGCGGCAGCGAGUUCCUCGCUAAUGUUCGGAUUUGUUUACCAAUGAUGCAAGUAAUUUAGUCAGAGUAACAAAGUAACGACUAGUUGUUUAAGUUAAAAGGUAGAUUUAAUAUUCCGGAUAUGAGCGAGGAAUGUCGGCGAGCGGCGGACGGCUGAGUAGCGCGUAGGAACAUACCCCAAAGUGAGGCAUAACCGCCCGAAAGGGUGGCUAAUACCGCAUAUUGUCUUCGGAUGAAAGCUUUUAGCGCUUUGGGAAUGGCCUGCGUUUGAUUAGCUAGUUGGUGAGGUAAGGGCUUACCAAGGCGAUGAUCAAUAGCUGGUUUGAGAGAAUGAUCAGCCAGACUGGAACUGAGACACGGUCCAGACUCCUACGGGAGGCAGCAGUUGGGAAUUUUCCACAAUGGGCGAAAGCCUGAUGGAGCAACGCCGCGUGCAGGAGAAUGCUUCGGUGUAA
This 491-nucleotide ribosomal RNA is filed under the name uncultured bacterium. RNAcentral's name for it is "bacterial SSU rRNA". It matches the Rfam family "Bacterial small subunit ribosomal RNA", at positions 28 to 428 of the family's 1533-position model. The record is from RNAcentral.